Molecule: non-coding RNA, 29 nt
Filed under: Bombyx mori (domestic silkworm)
Lineage: Eukaryota; Metazoa; Arthropoda; Insecta; Lepidoptera; Bombycidae
Source: RNAcentral
UAAGUAAGUAUAAAAAUGAUAAUGAGUCC